This is a non-coding RNA of Otolemur garnettii (small-eared galago), 119 nucleotides long. The record is from Rfam. NCBI's taxonomy places the organism in Eukaryota, Metazoa, Chordata, Mammalia, Primates, Galagidae.
GUCUAUGGCCAUACCAUCCUGAACGCACCUGAUCUCGUCUGAUCACGGAAGCUAAGCAGCGUCGGGCCUGGUUAGUACUUAGAUGGGAGACUAUAAAUAUAUUUUAAACAGUAUUUACU